GAUGAACGCUGGCAGCGUGCCUAAUACAUGCAAGUCGAGCGAACGGACGAGAAGCUUGCUUCUCUGAUGUUAGCGGCGGACGGGUGAGUAACACGUGGAUAACCUACCUAUAAGACUGGGAUAACUUCGGGAAACCGGAGCUAAUACCGGAUAAUAUUUUGAACCGCAUGGUUCAAAAGUGAAAGACGGUCUUGCUGUCACUUAUAGAUGGAUCCGCGCUGCAUUAGCUAGUUGGUAAGGUAACGGCUUACCAAGGCAACGAUGCAUAGCCGACCUGAGAGGGUGAUCGGCCACACUGGGACUGAGACACGGUCCAGACUCCUACGGGAGGCAGCAGUAGGGAAUCUUCCACAAUGGGCGAAAGCCUGACGGAGCAACGCCGCGUGAGUGAUGAAGGUCUUCGGAUCGUAAAACUCUGUUAUUAGGGAAGAACAUAUGUGUAAGUAACUGUGCACAUCUUGACGGUACCUAAUCAGAAAGCCACGGCUAACUACGUG
This 497-nucleotide ribosomal RNA is filed under the name uncultured bacterium. Its description in RNAcentral is "partial 16S ribosomal RNA". It matches the Rfam family "Bacterial small subunit ribosomal RNA", at positions 28 to 507 of the family's 1533-position model. The record is from RNAcentral.